RNAcentral lists this long non-coding RNA (1980 nucleotides) under Homo sapiens (human). Lineage: Eukaryota; Metazoa; Chordata; Mammalia; Primates; Hominidae. The record is from RNAcentral.
AGCCUCAUCCUACUGCCUUACUAUUGGUCGUCGGCAACCGCUUUGUUAGUUAAUUGGAGAGACUGGAUGUCCAUCAGGGUCACGCUUGCAGGGCAACGAGAGGCAAAACAAGAGGGAAGACGACUUUCCUCCUGUGAGCCAAUGAGGCCAGCUGGACUACGCCGAGACAACUGGGAGAGGCGCGGGACUCGCCCGUUCCGCGGAACGCCGGGAAGGGGUCACCUCCUGAUGAAGUUUCCGGUUCCGGUGUCAGCGGCGGUUGAAUUGCCAUGGCAAUGCGGUGGGCGCGCGCUUGUCGUGUUGGUCUCUUGGGAGGUAGCGGGGCUAGGCCGGGCGGGUAUCCGCCUCUCCCAGCUUAGGUGAGCGUCCCCGGGCGCCUCCGGAGCGCCGCGGCCGCAUGCAGUUCGUCGUGGCGGGGAGCCGGAGCCUGACCGGGGUUCCAGCGCUCGGGCCGUAGCCUUGGCUCCUGGACUUUCCCUGGCUCCGCCGCCACGUGGGAGCUGAGGCUCUGGGGCUUCCGCCUCCGGCGCGCGAUUAUUUCUCUAGAACAGUUUUCAUUUUUAAAAUUUGUAAAGCGCUUUUGCCUGUGUGAUUUCCUCUGGGUUUUUUUUUUUUUUCUUCCUUUUUGUAGAGACGGAAUUGGCGGCGGGGGCGGGGGGUCGAUGUCUCACUUUUUUGCCCAGGCUGGUCUCGAACUCCUGGCUUCAAGGGAUCCUCCUGCCUCGGCCUCUUAAAGUGCUGGGAUUACAGGCGUGAGCCACCGCCCCCGGCCGCCUCUGAGUUUCCAGCCUCGUUGGCCCUCCAGCCUUUUAACCUGUUGGGCCUAGGAUCAGGAAAGGUUUGUUGAAUGGGGAACUAAGAAGUGAAUUCGUUCGUUCGACAAACGUUUCCUGAGCAGCCGCUGGGUGCUAGGCGCAGUGCCAGCGCGGAAUGUCCAGGGAGACCUGGUGCCCAAAGCUUGGACCCAUCGUGAGAAAUGAGAAGCAGAUACAAAGCAGUGUGGGAGUGCAGAGGAGACAAAGCAAGCCUCAUCAGGCCCAUUGCUUGCUCUGCUCUCCCUUGUACUUACCAGUGCUUGACAAUAUACAGUUAUUUACUAGCUUGGUUAUUGACUUCCUACCCAGCACUCAGUUUUAUUCACUGCUGUAUCCUCAGUGCCUAGGACGAUGCUUGGAACGUGGUAAGUGCUCCUAUUGGCGGGAAGAAUAAAUCCGGAAGAGCAGGACCAGUGGACUUGCUACAUAAUCUGUAGUCUUGGAGCCGCACAGGGUUGGUGGUACCCUCGAGCACACCAGACUUGCAGAAAAAGCAUACUCCAGAGGAAGCUGAGGCAUGCCUGCUCGAGAGCCAGCUGUUCCAUGUGCAAUUUUCCUCUGAUAGUUUCUGGUCACUGUUGCCACGGUGAUAAUGACUGGGCUAUGUCAUUAUCUAUCCGCCAACAGUAAGAGAAGCUUUGCAGUCGAGAUAUUGUUUAGCAGAUGGAGUGUUUUCUGUUGAACACUAAGUACUGCCACAAGUUACUUUUUUUUUUUUAAACUUUGAGUAUUUUUUUACAAUGUUGCUGGAGGUGAUCUGUUUAUGCUUUGAGAGUGUUCGAAUUUAAAAUCAGAAAAUCAUGUCAGUGAGUGAGUCUUUCAAAUAAUCCUUCGGCAUGAAACCUGAGCCUAGUAAACUAUGAAAGUAAACUCGGCACAUUACCCGAAAGUCUCAAUGUCAUAUUUUCACCCCCAUCAAUAUUAUUGAUGAUUGCUCAUUUUCUAAUGUGGGACCUGAAAUUUACCAGGUGCUUAAAGAAUCUUUUUGUUUUUCAGAUUCAUUGAUUCCAGGUAAAUCAGAGGAACAAGCAACAUGAACAGAAAUAUGUAGAAAAAGCUAUUAUGCAGAAGCAUAAUUGUUGUUUCAGAAGUCCAGCAUCUGGUGCACUUAACAAUAGAGAAUAUAUUAAACUCUUUCCAAAAUAAAAAAAAAAAAAAAAAAAAA